GAUGAAGAACGCAGCGAAAUGCGAUAAGUAGUGUGAAUUGCAGAAUUCAGAGAAUCAUCGAAUCUUUGAACGCACAUUGCGCCCCUUGGUAUCCCGAGGGGCAUGCCUGUUCGAGCGUCAUUUCACCACUCAAGCCUGGCUUGGUGUUGGGCGACGUCCCCUUUGGGGACGCGCCUCGAAACGCUCGGCGGCGUGGCACCGGCUUUAAGCGUAGCAGAAUCUUUCGCUUUGGAAGUCGGGGCCCCGUCUGCCGGAAGACCUACUCGCAAGGUUGACCUCGGAUCAGGCAGGGAUACCCGCUGAACUUAAGCAUAUCAAUAAGCGGAGGA
RNAcentral lists this unclassified non-coding RNA (329 nucleotides) under soil metagenome. Its description in RNAcentral is "partial contains 5.8S ribosomal RNA, internal transcribed spacer 2, and large subunit ribosomal RNA". The stretch from base 1 to 120 matches the Rfam family "5.8S ribosomal RNA", at positions 35 to 154 of the family's 154-position model. The record is from RNAcentral.